This 464-nucleotide ribosomal RNA is filed under the name uncultured bacterium. RNAcentral's name for it is "partial 16S ribosomal RNA". It matches the Rfam family "Bacterial small subunit ribosomal RNA", at positions 28 to 507 of the family's 1533-position model. The record is from RNAcentral.
GACGAACGCUGGCGGCGUGCUUAACACAUGCAAGUCGAACGGAAAGGCCCAGCUUGCUGUGUGCUCGAGUGGCGAACGGGUGAGUAACUCGUGGGUGAUCUGCCCCUAACUUCGGGAUAAGCUUGUGAAACUGGGUCUAAUACCUGAUAGGUCAAUCGUUUAGUGUCGGUUGUGGAUAGUUUUUUCGGUUAGUGAUGAGCCCGCGGCCUAUCAGCUUGUUGGUGGGGUAAUGGCCUACCAAGGCGUCGACGGGUAGCCGGCCUGAGAGGGUGGACGGCCACAUUGGGACUGAGAUACGGCCCAGACUCCUACGGGAGGCAGCAGUGGGGAAUAUUGCACAAUGGGCGCAAGCCUGAUGCAGCGACGCCGCGUGGGGGAUGACGGCCUUCGGGUUGUAAACCUCUUUCGACAGGGACGAAGCUUUGGUGACGGUACCUGUAUAAGAAGCACCGGCUAACUACGUG